Long non-coding RNA from Cyprinus carpio (common carp), 783 nucleotides. RefSeq lists it as uncharacterized. The transcript has 2 exons. Lineage: Eukaryota; Metazoa; Chordata; Actinopteri; Cypriniformes; Cyprinidae. The record is from RefSeq and is a predicted model, not a curated record.
UCCACAGUCACAUUCACCAACAUUGUUCCCAGAACCAGGAAGGACUUCCUACAAUAUUCCCGUCAGCUCACUCUGGAUCUGAACACAGUGAAUAAACACCUCCGUCUGUCUGAGAACAACAGAGUGAUUACAUACACUGACACACUCCAGCCGUAUCCUGAUCAUCCAGACAGAUUUGAUGAUGUGUGUCAGGUGUUGUGUAGACGAGAGAGUGUGUGUGUGGACGCUGUUUACUGGGAGAUUGAGAGGAGUGGAGGUGUGGAUAUAUCAGUGUCAUAUAAGAGCAUCAGCAGGAAGGGAGGAGGUAAAGAGUGUGGGUUUGGAGGUAAUGAUCAGUCCUGGAGUUUGUUCUGCUCUUCCUCCAGAUACUCAUUCAGACACAAUAACAUAGAGACUGCUCUCUCUGUGAAGUCCAUCAGCAGUAGAAUAGGAGUGUUUGUGGAUCACAGUGCAGGAACUCUGUCCUUCUACAGCGUCUCUGACACAAUGAGCCUCAUCCACACAGUCCAGACCACAUUCACUCAGACACUCUAUCCUGGGUUUUGACUUCGUUUUAGAUCAUCAGUGAAAACUGUGUUGAUGAAUCAGAAUAGACUGAUGAGAGAUUCUACCCAUAAUGCUUUGAGCUGCAUGAUAAAUCAGUAACAGUGUUAUUACUGAGUCUCUUCUCUUCUCUUCAUGAUAUUAAUACUGCAGCUUUACUUCUGUCAGUGAAAUAACAUCAGAAUAAAUGUAAUAAAUCCUCACAUAGACAGAAAGAUCAGUGUGUGUGAGUCCUGCUGA